AAGGAAAGAAUAGUUUUGUGGGCCAGGACCAAGGUCCGGCCACUCUGUGCAGCCUGGGGACAUGGUGCCCUGAAUCCUGGCUGCCCCAGCUCCAGCCAUGGCUAAAAGGGGCCAAGGUAUAGCUCAGGCAGAGGGUGCCAGCCAUAAGCCUUGGCAGCUUCCAUGUGGUGUUAAGCCUGCAAGUACACAGAGUGUGAGAGUUGAAGCUUGGAAGCCUCUGCCUAGAUUUCAGAGGAUGUGUGGAAAUCCUUGAAUGUCCAGGAAGAUUGCUGCAGGGGUGGAGUCUGUCAGGCCUCUGAGCCCAAGCCAAGCCAUCGCAUCCCCUGUGACUUGCAUGUAUACGCCCAGAUGGCCUGAAGUAACUGAAGAAUCACAAAAGAAGUGAAUAUGCCUUGCCCCACCUUAACUGAUGACAUUCCACCACAAAAGAAGUGUAAAUGGCCGGUCCUUGCCUUAACUGAUGACACUACCUUGUGAAAGUCCUUUUCCUGGCUCAUCCUGGCUCAAAAAGCACCCCCACUGAGCACCUUGCGAUCCCCACUCCUACCCGCCAGAGAACAAACCCCCUUUGACUGUAAUUUUCCUUUACCUACCCAAAUCCUAUAAAACGGCCCCACCCUUAUCUCCGUUUGCUGACUCUUUUCGGACUCAGCCUGCCUGCACCCAGGUGAAAUAAACAGCCAUGUUGCUCACACAAAGCCUGUUUGGUGGUCUCUUCACACGGACGCGCAUGAAGUUUGGUGCCAUGACUCGGAUCGGGGGACCUCCCUUGGGAGAUCAAUCCCCUGUCCUCCUGCUCUUUGCUCCGUGAGAAACAUCCACCUACGACCUCAGGUCCUCAGACCGACCGGCCCAAGAAACAUCUCACCAAUUUCGAAUCCGCCAUGUAAAACGUGCCUCCUCCCUCUUUGCCUUCUGCCAUGAUUGUAAGUUUCCUGAGGCCUCCCAACCAUGCUUCCUGUACAGCCUGUGGAACUGGAAGUAAUGAAUCAAGGCAUUGAGCAUCAAGAGCUGCAACUACAGAAAGAAAUGACCAGACAUUAUGUGCCUCUUCUCCACAGAACACACCACGGCCUACGGCCUUAGGAGAAAGGAUUAAGCAUGAAUCUGAUCAAGACUUUGGCUCCAACUACCAAUUUGCGGGAAAUACACAGGAUGGAGGAAGAUGUUGACUCAAGCUAUGAUUAUGUAAUUUAAAAAUCCACACUGUAGAUAACUAUUCAGGUCAAAUGCAACAGAUAAAUUUUAAGAGGAAGAGAUGGAGGGAAAACUAGAGAUUAAGAGACUUAACAGCUGUUAAUUUUUUAAAUGGACAAGAUUAUACUGUCUAUUGAUGUACAUUUAGAUAAUAAAAGUAUUUAAAUAUUACACAUGAUUGAUUGCCAGGUUAGCUUAUUUUACCAUAUAAACAGAGUGGUGUAUUAUUGGGGAGGCAGGGAUUAAGACUAGGGUAGACCUUAUGGAGGGGCUUCUGGAGUGACUGGUGAAAUUCUAUUUCUUGACCUGAUUGUUUGUCUUAUAAGUCAUUAAGCAAACAUUUGUUUUGUAGCUUCUUUUGCAUCUGGUUUACUUUUAAAUAUAAAAGUUUUUUAAAGUUUA
RNAcentral lists this long non-coding RNA (1599 nucleotides) under Homo sapiens (human). RNAcentral's name for it is "novel transcript". Lineage: Eukaryota; Metazoa; Chordata; Mammalia; Primates; Hominidae. The record is from RNAcentral.